Nothobranchius furzeri (turquoise killifish) is the source of this 469-nucleotide non-coding RNA. Lineage: Eukaryota; Metazoa; Chordata; Actinopteri; Cyprinodontiformes; Nothobranchiidae. The record is from RefSeq and is a predicted model, not a curated record.
GAUGUAGCCACCUAGCUUCAACCCAACCGGAGCUAACUGGAACACCCAUCGACCUGAACCUUACACGGAGUUUAGGUGGAGGUUUUCUGCGCCUGUUCGUGAGAAGUACCUGUAUUAAAAAAGUUUUAAAUCGAUCUGUUUAAAUGUCACCAUGGCAGCCUGUGUGUCUCCAACAUCAGCUACACAAAGCAGCAAGUGUAAGUUCCACAUACCUGUCUCACCACUUCAUGUAUGGUUUUGUACUUUAAACAAUUAUGACAAACCUGUUAUUUUUUCUCCAUAGCCAUUUGGAUCAUUGGAGACAGCUAUGUGAGGCGUGGUGCCCAGAGAGCUGCAGAGACAACCUUGGCCUCCCUGACGUCUGUGUCUCCUGGUUUGGUUGGGGCGGACCAUCGACAUACAUACAUGUGCCGACACUUUGCGCCCUGUUUUAUAAAAUGUAGUGUUAAAAAUAAAUGUUUUUGCUCAA